AACCUAACAAGGAUUCCCCUAGUAACGGCGAGUGAAGAGGGAAAAGCCCAAAUUUGUAAUCUGGCUCUUUUAUAAGGGUCCGAGUUGUAAUUUUGAGAACUGUUUUCCGUGCUGGACCAUGUAAAAGUCUGUUGAAAAACAGCAUCAUUGAGGGUGAUAAUCCCGUACAUGAUAUGGACUACCAGGACAAUGUGAUACAGUCUCUAAGAGUCGAGUUGUUUGGGAAUGCAGCUCAAAGUGGGUGGUAAAUUCCAUCUAAGGCUAAAUAUAGGUGAGAGACCGAUAGCAAACAAGUACCGUGAGGGAAAGAUGAAAAGAACUUUGGAAAGAGAGUUAACAGUACGUGAAAUUGUUAAAAGGGAAACAUUUGAAGUUACACUUGUUAUUGUUGGUUCAGCUCUUUUCUUAAGGGUGUAUUCCAAUGGUUAACAGACCAGCAUCAAUUUUUGAGUGUUAGAUAAGGGUCUUGAGAAUGUAGCAACUUUGGUUGUGUUAUAGAUCUUGACUUGAUAUAAUGCUUAGGAUUGAGGAACGCAGUGAGCUUCAUUUUUUGAAGUGGAUGUUUUUUUAAAUGUCUUCUCACUA
RNAcentral lists this ribosomal RNA (585 nucleotides) under Caeoma tsukubaense. RNAcentral's name for it is "eukaryotic LSU rRNA". It matches the Rfam family "Eukaryotic large subunit ribosomal RNA", at positions 62 to 647 of the family's 3401-position model. Lineage: Eukaryota; Fungi; Basidiomycota; Pucciniomycetes; Pucciniales. The record is from RNAcentral.